UGGGGAAUAUUGCACAAUGGGCGCAAGCCUGAUGCAGCAACGCCGCGUGAGGGACGACGGCCUUCGGGUUGUAAACCUCUUUUGGCAGGGAAGAAGCGAAAGUGACGGUACCUGCAGAAAAAGCACCGGCUAACUACGUGCCAGCAGCCGCGGUGAUACGUAGGGUGCAAGCGUUGUCCGGAAUUAUUGGGCGUAAAGAGCUCGUAGGCGGUUUGUCGCGUCUGCUGUGAAAACCCGAGGCUCAACCUCGGGCCUGCAGUGGGUACGGGCAAACUAGAGUGCGGUAGGGGAGAUUGGAAUUCCAGGUGUAGCGGUGGAAUGCGCAGAUAUCAGGAGGAACACCGAUGGCGAAGGCAGAUCUCUGGGCCGUAACUGACGCUGAGGAGCGAAAGCAUGGGGAGCGAACA
RNAcentral lists this ribosomal RNA (407 nucleotides) under uncultured bacterium. RNAcentral's name for it is "bacterial SSU rRNA". It matches the Rfam family "Bacterial small subunit ribosomal RNA", at positions 355 to 774 of the family's 1533-position model. The record is from RNAcentral.